RNA transcript from Aquila chrysaetos chrysaetos, 2806 nucleotides. It is a transcript of the gene named cysteine rich hydrophobic domain 1, with no coding region annotated. The transcript is spliced from 7 exons. NCBI's taxonomy places the organism in Eukaryota, Metazoa, Chordata, Aves, Accipitriformes, Accipitridae. The record is from RefSeq and is a predicted model, not a curated record.
GGCCGCGCGGGGGGGGGGGAGGGGUUGAGAUGAGCGUACUACUCCCCAAUAUGGCGGACUUCGACACUAUCUAUGAGCUGGAGGAGGAGGAAGAGGAGGAGGAGGAGUCCGAACCUGUGGUGCGGAGCCAGGAGCUGCCCCGGCCCCGCGAUGCGCCGGAUCCCGUAGCGGUACGGGGUGCCGGGCACAUCACCGUGUUUGGCUUGAGCAACAAGUUUGAUACAGAAUUUCCUUCUGUUCUGACAGGGAAGGUUGCCCCAGAAGAAUUCAAGACCAGCAUCAGUCGUGUGAAUGCCUGUUUAAGAAAGAAUCUCCCUGUCAAUGUAAAAUGGCUGCUUUGUGGCUGUCUGUGCUGCUGCUGCACACUGGGCUGUAGCCUGUGGCCUGUAGUCUGUCUUAACAAAAGAACUAGAAGAUCAAUUCAGAAGUUAUUAGAAUGGGAAAAUAACAGACUGUAUCAUAAGCUUGGUUUGCACUGGAAGCUGAGUAAAAGGAAAUGCGAAACUAGCAAUAUGAUGGAAUAUUUUGCCCGAUCUCAGGAAGGGAAGUAAUUGUAGAAAAACUUCUGUAAUGGCUGGCCGAAGCAAGACCACUUGAUAAUAGAUGAGUGUUAACUGGAAGCAGAGAAAAUACUUAAUGGCAGAAAAAUGCAGUGUAAACCAAAACUGAAAUAGCACAUCCAAUUCUAUGUAUUUCCCUUACAAAUCAGUUUCUGGAGUAAAUGAAGGGAGCUUGGCUUAAUUAACAGAACAAUGGAAGUUUCUUACUGUUAUGCCAGAACUUUGUUAGUAAUUUUCUUUUUUUGUGUGUGUGUAAGAAACUCAAGAAAUCUCAGCAGGUUCUUAUUUUCUUCUUUAUGUGACUAUAUUUUCAAAACGUUCUUUUCCAACUGAGAGAACAGGCAAGCUGAAUGAGAGGUCUAGUAAUUGCUAGUGGUGAAUGCUGAGCAGUCUUCAGUCUCGCUGCUAAAAGAAAUCCUGUUCAGUCUGUGCUGACUUCAUCAUACUCAGUUGAAAAUUUCUCAAACUGAUUUGUCUUGUUUCUGUGAAAUGCUGUGCCAAACUGAGAGAAUACCCUGAGCUACAGGAGCCCCUAGUCCCUCUGGGCUGUUCCCUGGCCACCCCGUGCUGCGAUAUGACCAGAGAUCCAAGGCAGAACAAGAUCACGGCUUUUGCUUUCCCACCCUCAUCCCUUUGUCCCCUUCCUGUGGGCCUGGCCACGUCCAGUGCCACAGGCUGCUCUGCCCGCAGCAGAUUGUCUGCCUCUGAGUCUCUCCUGGGCACUAAAGCACAGAAUAAUUAGUUUUUAAAGUUUACAUUUUAAGUAUGUAAAUUCUAUACAUUUUACUUUGUCCUUAAUUGUUAAUUGUAUAGUCUUCAAACCAUGAAAGGGUCUCUUCUUUUUGUGUUUUAAUAGACAUUUAAGUAUGUGGCCAUAAAGUAACUAGUAAAGAAUAAGAGCGCCAAAACUGCCAUUUACAGUAAACUGUAACGUUUUAAUAAGUAGAUAAAUUUGCAUUAAAAUGCAAAACCAGCAAGCAGUAUUAUAUUUGCAUCUGAAAGACACAGGUUCUGUAGCUCAUUUAAAGAUGAAGGCAGCUGUAAGUACUACUCUGAAGUCUGUGCACUUCGGCUCUGCCUACAGGUUCUUUUUUGCCUGGGCUAUCCUUUGCUUUAAUAUAAAGACAUUCAGGUGUAAUUGUAUCUCACGAGACUGAAAAUCUCAUUUUUGACAAUAAGUCAGCAUUAAUUGGUAAACGUAUUUAUGGAGGAUACUUGUUAAUUGGAGAAAGAAUUUGUAGCAAUAUAACAGAGAUUAAUGUUAGCAAAGUGUAGUGGAAGUGGUAAAGAAAGUGCCUUGACUGGUUCUAACAAAAGAGAAAGCAUUGUGCAGAGAGUGAGGAGAAAAGGGAACUAGUAAGUCUCAGUAGUGUGAGUUUGCAGCAGAUCUUUAAAAGCAGUUACUGUCUACCAAAUCAGUGUUUAAUUUUUCAUAUAAAGAUGUUGACACUAACUUUCCUUUCUAGUUUUUAUCUAGGAAAUAUUUGGGUUUCUAUCUAGUAAGUUUUGUAUCUAAGGACUAUUGAAGUAUUAAAGAAUACUGGCAGAGCAUCAAAGCUCUUACCUACUGUUUCCCACCUGCAUCUGUGAAGUUGUUUUACCAUAGGAGGAAAAAAAGUGUUCCAAGGCAUGCACAGGCAAGUCUAGGAAGUGUGGAUUGAGUUGUAGAUGGGUGACUUUAAAACGGGAAACAUUUUUGCUAAAUCUGGUGUGGUCUUGAUAAAUAAAAAAAAGUUCCUAUGCUUUUCUUGAUAGGUACAAAACUCCAUAUGCAAAAACAUAAAUAUAUGUAUAUGAUUGUCCCACUAUGACAGUUUUUACUACAUUCACUUGUCAACACACUACCAUUGGAGCAAUAAAAAUGUCAAGCUAUUAAUACUCAAUGUAAAUAAUUUAUCAUUUUAGUAAGUAAUGUUAUGUGAUUCUUCUGCCUUUUUUUUUUUCUGUUUUUGGUGUUCUUAUGGUGUUGUAACAUUACUUGUACUGCUUAAGAAAAGUGGUUUUGUUUAAGCUGUAUGAAACUUUGUGUUCUUAACAUUUUUAUUCUGUUUACAAGUGAACAGCCGCUUUUUUAAUAGGACCUCACAUCUUGAGACUUUUUUUUUUUUAAUUAAAAUAAAAUUCUAACUGAGCUCGAUUUCUACAAUUUACUGCACUGGCUUGUGCCAUUAAAAGAAGCUGGAAGUCAGACAUGCUUAAUCACUUUGAGACAUUUUUCUUUAAUUAAAUUUAAAGAUGAAAACCUU